UUUAUGGAGAGUUUGAUCCUGGCUCAGGAUGAACGCUGGCGGCGUGCCUAAUACAUGCAAGUCGAGCGAACGGACGAGAAGCUUGCUUCUCUGAUGUUAGCGGCGGACGGGUGAGUAACACGUGGAUAACCUACCUAUAAGACUGGGAUAACUUCGGGAAACCGGAGCUAAUGCCGGAUAAUAUUUUGAACCGCAUGGUUCAAAAGUGAAAGACGGUCUUGCUGUCACUUAUAGAUGGAUCCGCGCUGCAUUAGCUAGUUGGUAAGGUAACGGCUUACCAAGGCAACGAUGCAUAGCCGACCUGAGAGGGUGAUCGGCCACACUGGAACUGAGACACGGUCCAGACUCCUACGGGAGGCAGCAGUAGGGAAUCUUCCGCAAUGGGCGAAAGCCUGACGGAGCAACGCCGCGUGAGUGAUGAAGGUCUUCGGAUCGUAAAACUCUGUUAUUAGGGAAGAACAUAUGUGUAAGUAACUGUGCACAUCUUGACGGUACCUAAUCAGAAAGCCACGGCUAACUACGUGCCAGCAGCCGCGGUAAUACGUAGGUGGCAAGCGUUAUCCGGAAUUAUUGGGCGUAAAGCGCGCGUAGGCGGUUUUUUAAGUCUGAUGUGAAAGCCCACGGCUCAACCGUGGAGGGUCAUUGGAAAC
This 650-nucleotide ribosomal RNA is filed under the name Staphylococcus aureus. RNAcentral's name for it is "bacterial SSU rRNA". It matches the Rfam family "Bacterial small subunit ribosomal RNA", at positions 1 to 633 of the family's 1533-position model. The record is from RNAcentral. Lineage: Bacteria; Bacillati; Bacillota; Bacilli; Caryophanales; Staphylococcaceae.